UUAGAGUUUGAUCCUGGCUCAGGAUGAACGCUAGCUACGGGCUUAGCACAUGCAAGUCGAACGGAUUCUGGAUUCGUCUGGAAUUAGUGGCAAACGGGUGAGUAACACGUAUCCAACCACCCUGCGACUCGGGGAUAGCCUCUUGAAAGGGAGAUUAAUAUCCGAUGUACUGUUUUUGGUGCAUGCCAUUUUCAGUAAAGUUUUUUACGGUCGCUGACGGGGAUGCGUUCCAUUAGAUAGUCGGUGUGGUAACGGCUCACCGAGUCUAUGAUGGAUAGGGGUUCUGAGAGGAAGGUCCCCCACAUUGGAACUGCGACACGGUCCAAACUCCUACGGGAGGCAGCAGUGAGGAAUAUUGGUCAAUGGGCGCAAGCCUGAACCAGCUAUGUAGCGUGAAGGAUGACUGCCCUAUGGGUUGUAAACUUCUUUUGUUCGGGAAUAACAGACUUCACUUGUGGAGUUUUGCAUGUACCGUUCGAAUAAGGAUCGGCUAACUCCGUGCCAGCAGCCGCGGUAAUACGGAGGAUCCUAGCGUUAUUCGGAUUUAUUGGGUUUAAAGGGAGCGUAGGCGGGGGGUCAAGUCAGCUGUGAAAUACGUACGCUUAACGUUCGUCUUGCAGUUGAAACUGGUUUUCUUGAGUGCGUAUGAGGCAGGCGGAAUUCGUGGUGUAGCGGUGAAAUGCUUAGAUAUCACGAGGAACUCCUAUUGCGAAGGCAGCUUGCUGGUCCGCUACUGACGCUGAUGCUCGAAGGUGCGGGUAUCGAACAGGAUUAGAUACCCUGGUAGUCCGCACAGUAAACUAUGGACACUCGCUGUCGGCGAUAUACUGUCGGUGGCUAAGCGAAAGCAUUAAGUGUCCCACCUGGGGAGUACGUCGGCAACGAUGAAACUCAAAGGAAUUGACGGGGGCCCGCACAAGCGGCGGAGCAUGCGGAUUAAUUCGAUGCAACGCGAAGAACCUUACCAAGGCUUGACAUACACCGGAAUCAUGCAGAGAUGUGUGAGUCUUCGGACUGGUGUACAGGUGGUGCAUGGUUGUCGUCAGCUCGUGUCGUGAGAUGUUGGGUUAAGUCCCGCAACGAGCGCAACCCUUGUCUCGUGUUGCCAGCAUUUAGUUGGGGACUCACGAGAGACUGCCGGGGUUAACUCGGAGGAAGGUGGGGAUGACGUCAAAUCAUCAUGCCCCUUAUGUCUUGGGCUUCACGCAUGCUACAAUGGCAAGUACAGAGUGUUGCGAGCCUGUGAGGGUGAGCGAAUCACUUAAAGCUUGUCUCAGUUCGGAUUGGGGUCUGCAACUCGACCCCAUGAAGUCGGAGUCGCUAGUAAUCGCAGAUCAGCAACGCUGCGGUGAAUACGUUCUCGGGCCUUGUACACACCGCCCGUCAAG
Molecule: ribosomal RNA, 1388 nt
Filed under: uncultured bacterium
Lineage: Bacteria
Description: partial 16S ribosomal RNA
Rfam family: Bacterial small subunit ribosomal RNA
Source: RNAcentral